CUAAACAAAAAUGUAAAAACACUCAGAAAAAUUUGUUUUAGUAACCUGAUUAGCAUAAAACUAGGUCAUAGUGAAUGCACAGCCAGCACCUUUGAUUUGAAGUUGGACUGUUUAAUAUAAGAUCUCUUGCAUCUAAAUCACUUUUUAUUGUUAAUGAAAUUAUUACUGAUCGGGUGUUUAAUGUACUAUAUUUAACAGAAACAUGGAUUGAACCAAACAAGUAGCACUAAAUGAUGCCUGUCUGCAUGGAUAUAGUUAUGUACAUCAGCCACACCUAAUGGGCAGAUAUAUAAUGUGCCCCACAAAAAUCUAUGCAUAAAUUCAAAUAAUUCAAGUUUUUUUAUACAAACUAAACAUAUGUUGGCACCAAAAAAUAAGUCUACCAAGAUUUCACUAACUGUUAUUUACAGACACCAGGAUAAAUUCCUCUUUGGAAAUUAAGUCAGAAGACCCUUUGAGAGCAGCAGCAGUGUCCAUCCUAGAUGUAGUAGGUGUUAAUCAGAAUAUAAUAGGACCCACUCAUAACAAGAGUCUUGAUCUCAGCUUUAUCAAUAAUCUCCAAGAAUUACCAUCCAUGAUUGGAUCCCUGUCUGACCCCACAGAACUUCAUAAGGUGACUGAUUACUUAAGGUCAGUGUUUUCUCUAUACCCUAGAUAUUGUAGGUCCACUUCAAAGAAAAUAAUUCGAGAGAAAAAACUCACACCCUGGUAUAAUGACCACAUACGAACCUAAAAACUAGUAACUUAAAUUAUGUCAAACUAAACUGGUAGUAUUUUAAUUAGCAUAGAAGGAAAGCUUCAGUGUAAAUAAUAAUAAUCAUAAAUUUUAAUUUAGUACUGUAGUAAAAAUUAACUAGGAGUAAAACCACUCUAGAAAAUAACACUAUCAAUAUGCAGCAGCAAUGACUUCAUGAAUUAUUUCAGUGGCAAAAUAGAGAAUAUCCACCUGAAAAUUCAUACUAUUAAUUUAAAACUAAACAAUUUGGUAGCUGAUCCUGUAGAUAAUAAUUUUACUGUUUUUGCUCAAGAGGCUGAUUUAAUUUCAAUAAAUUCUUCUUCAAAAUUAACAACUUAUCAACUAGAUCUCUUACUUUGAUGUUUCUUUAAACAUAUAAUACAAUUAGCUACUGAACCCCUUCUAAAAAUAAUCAGUUCCUCCCUUAGCACUGGCUAUGUGCCUAAAUCUAUUAAACUAGUGCUUAUCAAAUCCCUGUUUUAAAAAACGUGAACUUGACCCCUUUCAGCUGUCCAUCUAUAGGCCAAUAUCAAACCACCCGUUUAUCUCCAAGAUUCGUGAAAAAGUACUAGCACAGCUAUUUUGCUUAUACCUACAGAGGUAGCAGCAAGUGCAAGCAAGUGUCUCCUUGCUGGUGUUGCUUGAUCUUAGUGCAGCUUUUGACACCACUGACCACAUUAUUCUACUUGAUAGGCUAGAACAUGUUGGUGUUAAGGGAACAGCCAUCUCUUGGCUCAGGUCUUAUUUGACUGAUCGUUAUCAGUGUGCAGAUGAAAAUGGUUCUCUUUGCAUACUAAGGUUAAGUUCGGUGUUCCACAAGGUUCUGUUUUAGGCCCACUGCUUUUCUCCUUAUUUACGCUACCUUUUGGUACAAUUAUUCAUAAACAUGGCAAUAGCUUCCACUGCUAUUCUGAUGACACAUAGUUAUAUGUUUCAGCAAAGCCAGAUGAGAUGCACAUUGUGUAAAGCACAUUAGACAGUUGAUGCUUUCCUCCUGCUUAAUUCUGACAAGAAAGGAAGGCUUGUACUAGGACCACAUGUAGCCAGAAGUAAGCUUUCUGAUUAUAGAGUGACUUUGGAUGGGCUUUCUGUGCAGCAGUAAAAGACCUUGGUGUGAUUAUUGACUCCUCUUUAAUUUGAAGAUCAUGUAGAUUAUGUUACUAGGGUAGUUAAACCUUCUGGCUCUCCCUUUUAGUUAUGCUGUCAUAGCUGGUCUUAUCAUAGACCAUCUGCCUGCAUAGCCUCUGCCUGCACUUUGCAUAAUGUAAUAAGGUACAUUGUCUUUUUACCAUUAUAUGAUCACAAGCAUACCUAAUACACUCUCUCUCUCUCUCUCUCUCUCACUACACACUAACCUCCUGAGCUCUCAGUGUUCUGAGUCCCCAGUGUGACUGCUUCUCCUCUCUGGAUCUGCCUGAUCCAUCCUGAUGCCCUACCUCAGGUUGGAGUCUCAUCACUUGGUGGUGCUCGCUGCUGCUGGGGAUGGCUCAGACCCAUGCUGUGGAUAAAACCAUGUGGGACUAUGGGACUGCCUUUGAACUGCUUUUGGUGCAGUCUGUUUUGCACUCAGGUCUGCAUCACUGAACAUUUGAAGGUUUUGGCAGGUCUCCCAGGCAGGAAAUCCAGGAUCCAGUUGCAGAGAGAGGUGUUCAGGCCCAGUAGGCUCAGCUUCUCAAUCAGCUGCUGAGGGAUGAUUGUGUCGAACGCUGAACUGAAAUCUAUGAACAGCAUUCGAACGUAGGAGUCCUUACAGUCCAGCUCCAAGCCCACUUUACAACACAAAGUCUUGCGGAUUAUUCUUGCUACUUCUAACCCACUCUACUGGAACCAUGAGGUCUCUGUCUGCCAUCUCCUACCAUUCUCCAAACUACCCUCCAACCUCUCCUGUAGCUCCCUCAUCCUCAAUUGAGCACCCUCACUGUGGGUGUUCAACAAACACAUAUUUUUGUGUAUGGUUGUAUUAUAUUUUCAAUAUAUCUUGGCAUGCUCUGUGCUGAUUUUGUGAUAUGUUUCAUUUAUGACCUCUUAUGACCAUGAUAUGAUGAAGACAAACAGGUCUGGCAGCAGCAAAUAUGAGAAAGAGUAAUAAUUUGCCUGUAUUCUGAAGGAUCUGAUUAGCUGAAUCUGUGGAUAAAACUUAUUUCAGACAGAAAGCCACACACAAGUAAAACAUACAAAGUUUAAAAAAUAAGACAUCAAUAUAAUACAAAUCAUACGACAACUGAAACAACUGAACAACCGAUCAGGCAUAACAUUAAGAGCACUGAGAGGUGAAGUGAAUAAGACUGAUGAUCUCCUCAUCAUGGCACCUGUUAGUGGGUGGGAUAUAUUAGGCAGCAAGUGAACAUUUUGUCCUCAAAGUUGAUGUUAGAAGCAGGAAAAAUGGACAAGAGUAAGGAUUUGAGCAAGUUUGACAAGGGCCAAAUUGUGAUGGCUAGACGACUGGAUCAGAGCAUCUCCAAAACUGCAGCUCUUGUGGGGUGUUCCCGGUCUGCAGUGGUCAGUAUCUAUCAAAAGUAGUCCAAGGAAGGAACAGUGGUGAACCGACAACUGGGUCAUGGGCAGCCAAGGCUCACUGAUGCACAUGGGGAGCAAAGACGAGCUACAGUUGCUUAAAUUGCUGAAGAAGUUAAUGCUGGCUCUGUUAGAAAGGGUUCAGAAUACACAGUGCAUCACAGUUUGUUGUGUAUGGGGCUGCAUAGCCACAGACCAGUCAGGGUUGCCCAUGCUGACCCCUGUGCACCGCCAACAAUGGGCAUGUGAGCAUCAGAACUGGACCACAGAGCAAUGGAAGAAGGUGGCCGGGUUUGAUAAAUCACGUGUUCUUUUACAUCAUGUGGAUGGCUGGGUGCAUGUGCGUCACUUACCUGGGGAACACAUGGCACCAGGAUUCACUAUGGGAAGAAGACGGAGGCAUUGUCAUGCUUUGGGCAAUGUUCUGCUGGGAAACCCUGGUGGAUGUUACUUUGACAAGUACCACCUACCUUAGCAUUGUUUCAGACCAUGUACACCCUUUCAUGGAAACUGUAUUCCCUGAUGGCUGUGGCCUCUUCCAUCAGGUUAAUGCAACUGUGCCACAAAGCAAAAAUGGUUCAGGAAAGGUUUGAUGAGCACAACAAGUUUAAGGUGUUGACUUAGCCUCCAAUUUCCCCAGAUAUCAAUCCAAUCGAGCAUCGCUGGGAUGAGCUGGACAAACAAAUAUAAUCCAUGGAGGCCCCACCUCACAACUUACAGGAUUUAAAGGAUCUGCUACUAAGAUCUUGGUGGCAGAUACCACAGCACACCUUAAGGAAUCUAGUGGAGUCCAUGCCUCGACUGGUCAGGGCUGUUUGGGCAGCAAAAGGGGGACCAACAUAAUGUUAUGCCUGAUCGGUGUAUACAAAUGCAGUGGAUGUUAUUGAUAGAUACACUAUAUUGCCAAAAGUAUUCGCUCACCUAUCCAAAUAAUCAGAAUCAGGUGUUCCAAUCACUUCCAUGGCCACAGGUGUAUAAAAUCAAGCACCUAGGCAUGCAGACUGUUUUUACAAACAUUUGUGAAAGAAUGGGUCGCUCUCAGGAGCUCAGUGAAUUCCAGCGUGGAACUGUGAUAGGAUGCCACCUGUGCAACAAAUCCAGUCGUGAAAUUUCCUCACUCCUAAAUAUUCCACAGUCAACUGUCAGCUGUAUUAUAAGAACGUGGAAGUGUUUGGGAACGACAGCAACUCAGCCACGAAGUGGUAGGCCACGUAAACUGACGGAGCGGGGUCAGCAGAUGCUGAGGCGCAUAGUGCGAAGAGGUCGCCAACUUUCUGCAGAGUCAAUCGCUACAGACCUCCAAACUUCAUGUGGCCUUCAGAUUAGCUCAAGAACAGUGCGCAGAGAGCUUCAUGGAAUGGGUUUCCAUGGCCGAGCAGCUGCAUCCAAGCCAUACAUCACCAAGU
Hemibagrus wyckioides is the source of this 4656-nucleotide long non-coding RNA. RefSeq lists it as uncharacterized. The record is from RefSeq and is a predicted model, not a curated record. NCBI's taxonomy places the organism in Eukaryota, Metazoa, Chordata, Actinopteri, Siluriformes, Bagridae. The transcript is spliced from 4 exons.